UGGGGAAUCUUGCGCAAUGGGGGAAACCCUGACGCAGCGACGCCGCGUGCGGGAUGAAGGCCUUCGGGUUGUAAACCGCUUUCAGCAGGGACGAGGCCUUAUGGUGACGGUACCUGCAGAAGAAGCUCCGGCUAAAUACGUGCCAGCAGCCGCGGUAAUACGUAUGGAGCAAGCGUUAUCCGGAUUCAUUGGGCGUAAAGCGCUCGUAGGCGGCUCUUCAAGCGGGACCUCUAACCCCGGGGCUCAACCUCGGGCCGGGUUCCGAACUGGAGGGCUCGAGUGCGGUAGAGGCAGGCGGAAUUCCCGGUGUAGCGGUGGAAUGCGCAGAUAUCGGGAAGAACACCGAUGGCGAAGGCAGCCUGCGGGGCCGGCACUGACGCUGAGGCGCGAAAGCUAGGGGAGCGAACAGG
Molecule: ribosomal RNA, 410 nt
Filed under: Verrucomicrobiota bacterium
Lineage: Bacteria; Pseudomonadati; Verrucomicrobiota
Description: Verrucomicrobia bacterium partial 16S ribosomal RNA
Rfam family: Bacterial small subunit ribosomal RNA
Source: RNAcentral